Non-coding RNA from Pelobates cultripes (western spadefoot toad), 209 nucleotides. NCBI's taxonomy places the organism in Eukaryota, Metazoa, Chordata, Amphibia, Anura, Pelobatidae. The record is from the annotation of a GenBank genome assembly.
CUGAUAGUCACACACAGACUCAAUGACCAACAUACUCUCACUGAUUUGACAGACACACACUCAUACACUGACAAACACACUCAUCAUACACUGAUAGACACACUCAUACACUCACAUGCACACACUCAUACAAUCACUCACAGACACACUCACUCACACACACACACACACACAGUCACUCACAGACACACACAGACGCACACAGUCAC